AAGGUAUUAGUAAAGUAAUUACGUAACUUUGUCAAAGUUAAAUCAUAGACUAAACAUCUAUAUAUCUUA
RNAcentral lists this transfer RNA (69 nucleotides) under Callithrix aurita (white-eared marmoset). Its description in RNAcentral is "tRNA-Asp". The record is from RNAcentral. Lineage: Eukaryota; Metazoa; Chordata; Mammalia; Primates; Cebidae. RNAcentral also lists the same sequence under 2 other names.